GAGAGGACGAUCAGCCACACUGGGACUGAGACACGGCCCAGACUCCUACGGGAGGCAGCAGUGGGGAAUCUUGCACAAUGGGCGAAAGCCUGAUGCAGCAACGCCGCGUGAGGGACGAAGGCUUUCUGAGUUGUAAACCUCUUUCAGCAGGGACGAUUGUGACGGUACCUGCAGAAGAAGCCCCGGCCAACUACGUGCCAGCAGCCGCGGUAAUACGUAGGGGGCAAGCGUUGUCCGGAUUUAUUGGGCGUAAAGAGCUCGUAGGCGGCUUGGCAAGUCGGAUGUGAAACCUCCAGGCUCAACCUGGAGUCGCCAUUCGAUACUGCCAUGGCUAGAGUUUGGUAGGGGACCACGGAAUUCCUGGUGUAGCGGUGAAAUGCGCAGAUAUCAGGAGGAACACCAGCGGCGAAGGCGGUGGUCUGGGCCAAUACUGACGCUGAGGAGCGAAAGCGUGGGGAGCGAACAGGAUUAGAUACCCUGGUAGUCCACGCCGUAAACGUUGGGCACUAGGUGUGGGGACCUAUCGACGGUUUCUGUGCCGCAGCUAACGC
Molecule: ribosomal RNA, 551 nt
Filed under: uncultured soil bacterium
Lineage: Bacteria
Description: bacterial SSU rRNA
Rfam family: Bacterial small subunit ribosomal RNA
Source: RNAcentral